Molecule: unclassified non-coding RNA, 510 nt
Filed under: Hevea brasiliensis (rubber tree)
Lineage: Eukaryota; Viridiplantae; Streptophyta; Magnoliopsida; Malpighiales; Euphorbiaceae
Source: RNAcentral
AAAAAAAAAAAAAAAAAUCUACCAAUUUACAUUGCAACCUCAUUGAUACUGAACACACAGUCAUCCCGGCAAUAUAUUUGAGAAGGUGAAUUAAGUAGUCUUUUGGGGUUUGUGGCUAUGCAAUUAUGAUUAGAAUAUUUGAUGCUAUUCUAACAUGAGUUUAGGUGAGUUCUCUUUAACCUUUUCUCCAUACUUCUGGAAAAACGUUGAGAUCUUUUUUAUUUUUAUGAACCCAGUAAAUUCACCCUCCAAUUUUAAACUAUGCUUAAUGAAAAAGAAAUGUACUAAUAUGACUUCAGUAUAGUUUUGCAUUGACUAAUCAUCAUGGAUUUUAUGCUUGUCCUUUUAGUCUAGAAAAUGCAAAAUUGUGAGGCUUUACUUAGUAAUUUAGGACUUUCUCUCCCUCUAUCUAUCUAUUCAUACAGUGUGUCUAAGGAUUGCAGGAUUUGCUAUCUAUCUAUUCACACAUGUAUGUCUAAGGAUUACAGGAUUUGCUUCCAAAGAGUUUGG